Molecule: ribosomal RNA, 497 nt
Filed under: uncultured bacterium
Lineage: Bacteria
Description: partial 16S ribosomal RNA
Rfam family: Bacterial small subunit ribosomal RNA
Source: RNAcentral
GACGAACGCUGGCGGCGUGCCUAAUACAUGCAAGUCGAGCGAACGGACGAGAGGCUUGCUUCUCUGAUGUUAGCGGCGGACGGGUGAGUAACACGUGGAUAACCUACCUAUAAGACUGGGAUAACUUCGGGAAACCGGAGCUAAUACCGGAUGAUAUUUUGAACCGCAUGGUUCAAAAGUGAAAGACGGUCUUGCUGUCACUUAUAGAUGGAUCCGCGCUGCAUUAGCUAGUUGGUAAGGUAACGGCUUACCAAGGCAACGAUGCAUAGCCGACCUGAGAGGGUGAUCGGCCACACUGGAACUGAGACACGGUCCAGACUCCUACGGGAGGCAGCAGUAGGGAAUCUUCCGCAAUGGGCGAAAGCCUGACGGAGCAACGCCGCGUGAGUGAUGAAGGUCUUCGGAUCGUAAAACUCUGUUAUUAGGGAAGAACAUAUGUGUAAGUAACUGUGCACAUCUUGACGGUACCUAAUCAGAAAGCCACGGCUAACUACGUG